This 373-nucleotide unclassified non-coding RNA is filed under the name Commiphora leptophloeos. RNAcentral describes it as "partial external transcribed spacer". Lineage: Eukaryota; Viridiplantae; Streptophyta; Magnoliopsida; Sapindales; Burseraceae. The record is from RNAcentral.
UUCGGUAUCCGGUGUUGCUUACCUAUCGAAAGGAACCCGACGGUCUCGUUCGUCCCCCUCCGCCCCCGGCCCUCGCGGGUUGUGGGGUGGACGUCAGGCACGCACCGUGUUCCCGGCAAGCCUCGCCGAGUCGCUUGGCCGCCUCGGCCCACGGUGUGCUAUGCCCGUUCUCUCGGAUGCSGAACGUUAUGCGCGGGCGUGGGGUCUGUCACAGACUCCGUCUGCCCGAGCAACGCAUUUUGUCCCUCGACGCGAACGACCGUCGUGCCCGUCUUGAGCCCGCGGCCUCACGGCCCGUCGGGCGUCAUGCGGGCGUCGGCGUCGCGAAGGAACGCUACCUGGUUGAUCCUGCCAGUAGUCAUAUGCUUGUCUC